AAUAGAGUGGUUUUGAACGUAUCUCGUGCC
This 30-nucleotide non-coding RNA is filed under the name Rattus norvegicus (Norway rat). The record is from RNAcentral. Lineage: Eukaryota; Metazoa; Chordata; Mammalia; Rodentia; Muridae.